GAUGAAGAACGCAGCGAAAUGCGAUAAGUAAUGUGAAUUGCAGAAUUCAGUGAAUCAGCGAAUCUUUGAACUCACAUUGCGCCCAUUAGUAUUCUAGUGGGCAGGCCUGUUCGAGCGUCAUUUCAACCCUUAAGCCUAGCUUAGUGUUGGGAAUCUGCUGUAUUGCAGUUCCUCAAAUACAACGGCGGAUCUGUAACAUCCUCUGAGCGUAGUAAAUUUUUAUCUCGCUUUUGUUAGGUGUUGCAGCUCUCAGCCGCUAAACCCCCCAAUUUUUGUGGUUGACCUCGGAUCAGGUAGGAAUACCCGCUGAACUUAAGCAUAUCAAUAAGCGGAGGA
This 336-nucleotide unclassified non-coding RNA is filed under the name soil metagenome. RNAcentral describes it as "partial contains 5.8S ribosomal RNA, internal transcribed spacer 2, and large subunit ribosomal RNA". The stretch from base 1 to 120 matches the Rfam family "5.8S ribosomal RNA", at positions 35 to 154 of the family's 154-position model. The record is from RNAcentral.